RNAcentral lists this ribosomal RNA (253 nucleotides) under uncultured bacterium. RNAcentral describes it as "partial 16S ribosomal RNA". It matches the Rfam family "Bacterial small subunit ribosomal RNA", at positions 524 to 776 of the family's 1533-position model. The record is from RNAcentral.
UACAGAGGGUGUGAGCGUUGUUCGGAAUUAUUGGGCGUAAAGAGCGCGUAGGCGGUUUGCUAAGUCUGGUGUGAAAGCCCACAGCUUAACUGUGGAAGUGCAUUGGAUACUGGCAGGCUUGAGUGUGAGAGGGGAUCGUGGAAUUCCUGGUGUAGCGGUGAAAUUCGUAGAUAUCCGGAGGAACACCAGGGGCGAAGGCGGCGAUCUGGACUGAUACUGACGCUGAGGUGCGAAAGCGUGGGGAGCAAACAGG